RNAcentral lists this unclassified non-coding RNA (329 nucleotides) under soil metagenome. Its description in RNAcentral is "partial contains 5.8S ribosomal RNA, internal transcribed spacer 2, and large subunit ribosomal RNA". The stretch from base 1 to 120 matches the Rfam family "5.8S ribosomal RNA", at positions 35 to 154 of the family's 154-position model. The record is from RNAcentral.
GAUGAAGAACGCAGCGAAAUGCGAUAAGUAGUGUGAAUUGCAGAAUUCAGUGAAUCAUCGAAUCUUUGAACGCACAUUGCGCCCCUUGGUAUCCCGAGGGGCAUGCCUGUUCGAGCGUCAUUUCACCACUCAAGCCUGGCUUGGUGUUGGGCGGCGUCCCCUUUGGGGACGCGCCUCGAAACGCUCGGCGGCGUGGCACCGGCUUUAAGCGUAGCAGAAUCUUUCGCUUUGGAAGUCGGGGCCCCGUCUGCCGGAAGACCUACUCGCAAGGUUGACCUCGGAUCAGGCAGGGAUACCCGCUGAACUUAAGCAUAUCAAUAAGCGGAGGA